This 465-nucleotide ribosomal RNA is filed under the name uncultured bacterium. RNAcentral's name for it is "partial 16S ribosomal RNA". It matches the Rfam family "Bacterial small subunit ribosomal RNA", at positions 338 to 795 of the family's 1533-position model. The record is from RNAcentral.
CCUACGGGGGGCAGCAGUAGGGAAUCUUCCACAAUGGGCGAAAGCCUGAUGGAGCAACGCCGCGUGGGUGAAGAAGGUCUUCGGAUCGUAAAACCCUGUUGUUAGAGAAGAAAGUGCGUGAGAGUAACUGUUCACGUUUCGACGGUAUCUAACCAGAAAGCCACGGCUAACUACGUGCCAGCAGCCGCGGUAAUACGUAGGUGGCAAGCGUUAUCCGGAUUUAUUGGGCGUAAAGGGAACGCAGGCGGUCUUUUAAGUCUGAUGUGAAAGGCUUCGGCUUAACCGGGGUAGUGCAUUGGAAACUGGGAGACUUGAGUGCAGAAGAGGUGAGUGGAACUCCAUGUGUAGCGGUGAAAUGCGUAGAUAUAUGGAAGAACACCAGUGGCGAAAGCGGCUCACUGGUCUGUAACUGACGCUGAGGUUCGAAAGCGUGGGUAGCAAACAGGAUUAGAUACCCGAGUAGUC